Molecule: transfer RNA, 59 nt
Filed under: Pelodiscus sinensis (Chinese soft-shelled turtle)
Lineage: Eukaryota; Metazoa; Chordata; Testudines; Trionychidae
Rfam family: tRNA
About the family: Transfer RNA (tRNA) molecules are approximately 80 nucleotides in length. Their secondary structure includes four short double-helical elements and three loops (D, anti-codon, and T loops).
Source: Rfam by way of RNAcentral
UGGCUUAGCUGGCUAAAGCACCUGCCUAAUAAACAGGAGAUCCUGGGCUCAACUCCCAG